Molecule: long non-coding RNA, 520 nt
Filed under: Homo sapiens (human)
Lineage: Eukaryota; Metazoa; Chordata; Mammalia; Primates; Hominidae
Description: non-protein coding LINC01229:14
Source: RNAcentral
AAAAUACCCGCUUGUCCGUCCUGUCCCUUCAGGCUGCGCAACGCUGGAGGGCGAUGGGAGCUCCACACAGGUGGGACGAGCCUAGCAGUGAUGCUGCCUGGAGUUAAAGGAGGCCAGGAGCACCAGAAGCUGGAGGAGGCCGGGGUGGAUUCUCGCCUGGAGGCUUCAGUGGGAGCACGAGCUCCCGACACUUCGGUUCCAUCUCUUGUUUAAAGGCACCCAGUUUCUCAUCAUUUGUUACAGCACCAUGGAAAACCCACACACAAGUGAAGCCCCGACCCACCUCCCAAGUGCCCAUCUGAGCACCCCUCGUGGACUCUGAGCAGGGGGUUGCCAUCACCAACUCCAAGUCUUGCAGCCCCUCUUCCCUUCAGUCUGGCUGCCACCUUCUUCAUUGCCCUGGAAAAAAAUAAUGAAGUUUCACCAUUUAAAGGGUUUCAGUGCAGCUUGCUAUGGGAACACUGGAGAGUAACACAAAUGGCCAAUUGUCCUAAUAGCCACCAUGGAUUGGAUGGAUGCU